UGCCAAACUCUAGCCCAAUAGACCUGACCUGGAAUAACAAAGCCACUACCAAAACCCAACUAAAGCAUUUACUAGUCCCAGUAUAGGCGAUAGAAAAGACACCACUUGGAGCGAUAGAGACCACGUACCGUAAGGGAAGGAUGAAAUAAAAAUGAAACAAAUAAGCUAAAAACAGCAAAGAUCAACCCUUGUACCUUUUGCAUCAUGGUCUAGCAAGAAAAACCAAGCAAAAUGAAUUUAAGUUUGCCACCCCGAAACCCAAGCGAGCUACUUACGAGCAGCUAUUAUUGAGCGAACCCGUCUCUGUUGCAAAAGAGUGGGACGACUUGUUAGUAGAGGUGAAAAGCCAACCGAGCUGGGUGAUAGCUGGNUGCCUGUGAAACGAAUCUUAGUUCACUCUUAAUUCUUCUCCAAGGAAACCCAAAACCCUAAUGAAGCGAAUUAAGGGCUAUUUAAAGGAGGUACAGCUCCUUUAAAAAAGAAAACAAUCUCCACGAGCGGAUAAAUAACCCCUACCAAAGACUAUUGUGGGCCCUCAAGCAGCCAUCAACAAAGAGUGCGUUAAAGCUCCGUACCUUAAAAAUACAUAAACUAUCUGACUCCCUCCCCACUAACAGGCUAACCUAUU
This 628-nucleotide ribosomal RNA is filed under the name Psaltriparus minimus plumbeus (Lead-colored bushtit). RNAcentral's name for it is "partial 16S ribosomal RNA". The stretch from base 174 to 628 matches the Rfam family "Bacterial large subunit ribosomal RNA", at positions 569 to 1221 of the family's 2925-position model. Lineage: Eukaryota; Metazoa; Chordata; Aves; Passeriformes; Aegithalidae. The record is from RNAcentral.